This 406-nucleotide ribosomal RNA is filed under the name uncultured bacterium. RNAcentral describes it as "partial 16S ribosomal RNA". It matches the Rfam family "Bacterial small subunit ribosomal RNA", at positions 29 to 526 of the family's 1533-position model. The record is from RNAcentral.
AUUGAACGCUGGCGGCAGGCCUAACACAUGCAAGUCGAACGAGUGGCGGACGGGUGAGUACUGUCUGGGCAACUGCCCGAUGGAGGGGGAUAACUACUGGAAACGGUAGCUAAUACCGCAUACCAUCGGAUGUGCCCAGAUGGGAUUAGCUAGUAGGUGGGGUAACGGCUCACCUAGGCGACGAUCCCUAGCUGGUCGGCUAGGAUGACCAGCCAAACGGGAACGGAGACACGGUCCAGACUCCUACGGGAGGCAGCAGUGGGGAAUAUUGCACAAUGGGCGCAAGCCUGAUGCAGCGAUGCCGCGUGUAUGAAGAAGGCCGUCGGGUUGUAAAGUACUUUCAGCGGGGAGGCGUUACCCGCGGAAGAAGCACCGGCUAACUCCGUGCCAGCAGCCGCGGUAAUAC